AACACAUACAUGUACAAGUGCAGCUUAACAUCUCAUAUCACCAGAUCCUAUCAUCAAUGAUUGGAAUACCAAUGAUGGUCAUUCUCGUGUCAAAUUAAUUGAAAGUCCUAAUGUCCCUGGGUCAGAUUACAGAUGUAUAUCAAGACAAACUACAUGUGCUACAUACAUUGACGAAAAUCAAAAGGAAAAUGCCUACAUUGUACAUCUCAGGGUCCAGUUCCUCACUUUAUUGAUGACUUCUGGUGGAACAGAAUGUGGAGACAGUUGUAAUACUGACAAACCUUGAAGAGAAAUGAAGAGCAAUGUGUGGCCUGAUUCUGGUACAUGUACUGAGAUGUACUGAUUCUUUGAGACAACGCUUCACUCAAUUAAUGAAGGAAUACCCAGACUACGCUGUACAUACUUGAGAAAUUCAAGAUAGUUGACAGCAGAGUG
Molecule: long non-coding RNA, 435 nt
Organism: Amphimedon queenslandica
Lineage: Eukaryota; Metazoa; Porifera; Demospongiae; Haplosclerida; Niphatidae
Exons: 4
Source: RefSeq, a predicted model, not a curated record